GUGUCAGCCGCCGCGGUAAUACAGAGGGCGCGAGCGUUGUCCGGAAUCACUGGGCGUAAAGGGCGCGUAGGUGGCCACUAUAAGGCCGCGGUGAAAGUUCGGGGCUCAACCCUGAAUCUGCCGCGGCGACUGUAGGGCUAGGGCACCGUAGAGGCAGAUGGAAUUCCGGGUGUAGCGGUGGAAUGCGUAGAGAUCCGGAAGAACACCGGUGGCGAAGGCGGUCUGCUGGGCGGUGAACUCGCAAGAGUUCAAUAGCCGACACUGAGGCGCGACAGCGUGGGGAGCAAACAGGAUUAGAAACCCUUGUAGUCC
RNAcentral lists this ribosomal RNA (312 nucleotides) under uncultured bacterium. RNAcentral describes it as "bacterial SSU rRNA". It matches the Rfam family "Bacterial small subunit ribosomal RNA", at positions 505 to 796 of the family's 1533-position model. The record is from RNAcentral.